Molecule: long non-coding RNA, 34144 nt
Filed under: Nicotiana tabacum (common tobacco)
Lineage: Eukaryota; Viridiplantae; Streptophyta; Magnoliopsida; Solanales; Solanaceae
Description: long non-coding RNA (NTAB_LNC012323)
Source: RNAcentral
UGGAGGAAGGUUUUUUGGUUGUUGAUACAUCAGAGGACUUUGAAAGCCCGGCCCCCGAUUCCCUUGAUUACUAUUAUUCCAACCCCCUUGGUUGUUGUUUCCUCCACAAUUUCUAUUGUUAUUGCCACCCCACUUGCCCUGGUUGUUCUGGUUGCCCCAAUUCUGAUUGUUGUUCCCCCAGUUGCUAUUUCCUUGUUGGUUUUGAUUCCCCUAAUUUCCUUGGGAUCUCCACUACUAUUGUUGAUUCGGAGCACUGCCCCGCUGUCCUUGGUAGUUUUUCACAUAUUGAACUUCUUCACUCUGAUCAUCAUACCCAUCAUCUUGGUUGAAACCACUGCAACCUUGAUCAUAUUAAUCCGGAUUUCCUUGACUUUGUUGACCUCUUUGUCGCCUCUUGUUGACCAACAUGUUUACCCCUUCCAUGGCAUUCACCUAUCUUGGCACUUGAACAUGCUGCAAUUGAGCUUUUGCCAACGAGUUCAUUGUUGUAGUCAACUCUGCUAUUGUUUGUCCAUGCUUAUGGAGCUUUUUGUGUAGGUGAAUGACAUUGGGAUCACCUUGUGGCACAUUAGCUCGACUUUGCCAUGCCGAGGAAGUAUCUGCCAUCUCAUCGAGAAUAUCACACGCCUCAACAAUAGGAGUGUUCAUAAAGUUUCCCCCUGCUAGCUGGUUCACUACACACUGAUUGGUGGUGUUGAUGCCACGGUUGAAUGUUUGUUGGAUCAUUGCUUCGGUCAUGUCAUUGUUCGAGCAUUCUUUCACCAUCAUCUGAUACCUUUCCACGAUCUCAUGAAAUGGUUCAUUAGGUUCCUGUUUGAAGGCCAAGAUAUCAUCUUUCAAGGUCGCCAUAUGCCCCGGCGAGAAAAACAUGGCUAUAAACUUGUCAGCCAACUCAUCCCAUGUGGUGAUGGAAUGGUUGGGGAGUCUUUAGAGCCAGUCCAAAGCUUUCCCUCUAAGUAAAAAGGGGGGAAAUCUCAGUCUCAAUACAUCCUCCGACACAUUUCUAUGUUUUCUACCUCAGCAGGUAUCCACAAAACCUUUUAGAUGGUUAUAUGCAUUUUGAUGGGGAGUGCCUGUGAAGUACCCUCUUUGCUACAAUAAGGUCAACAUAACAUUUGUAAUCUAGAAAUUGCCCACCCGGAUCUGGGGUGGGACAAUUGCACUUGCUUAACCUUCAUUUGAAAGCACUCGAGGAGCUACUCGCGGAGGAACUGGAGGAGGGUAUAGAAUGUUUUCAUUGGCAUGGCAGCCUCUUCUUUGAGCUUGAGGUACUAGAGGCACCUCAUCUUCACCAUUAUCAUCUACCUCCUCCCCCUGGAGAACAUUUCCGAGAGGAUCAUUAUUUGCCAUUUUGUACCUGAAUCAAUUAACUCACACAAGUUAGUAAAAUAGAAGGAAAGAAAAACAAGACACACAAAUAGUCAGAUAGAUAGCCAAAACCGUUUAACUCCCGGGCAACGACAUCAAAAAGUAAUUGGCUCCAACUCUACACCACUAUAUAAUGGCAAAGAUUGGUCGAUGCAGCUUUUACCCGAAAGGUCAGGAUCGAUAUCCACAAGGAGCUAAUAUUGGCUGGGAGUUUAGUUUCUAUCCAAUCUAGUUAUGUGUGUUGCUCUUAAUUGCACUUAUAACCAUGUUUGGAUUUGUUUCUAUUCUACUUUUUAAUACUACUGAUUGCUGAAAAUAAUCUAAGUACAAUAUUUUUGUAAGAGUUUUCUCAAUUGAUAAAAAGCUCUAGGGAAGUGACUUACACCUAGGUGAGUAUCUAAUGGGAUCUAAAAUUUAGGACACGCUUGUUAUAUUUGAGGUCGUGAUAUAACCUUUGAACAUAAUUACUCACUAUAUACCUCUCGGUAGUUUGAGUUACUUUGCCCGAAUUGUCUUUCUAAGGCCCAAUUGGGUGUUCAAACUAUGCAAGCAAAAUUUACUCAAGUCGGGUAUUACUAUCUCUAGGUUUAACCCUUUAAUUGGGGCUAUCAAUCUCUUGAAUGCACCCUGAUUCCUUGUUAGUCUGAAUUUCCUAGACUUAGUCCCUCUUUCUCAACAAGAGUCUAAGUCAUAAAGGCAUGAAUCAGUGUUUGCAACCACCAAUUCUACAAUUAAAGCAUGAAUCAAGAUAAAUAUCACUAACCCAUAAACAAUUAGGCCCUAAAAUUAAAGACUCGUUAAAUACCCACACUAGGAUUGGGUCACAACCCUAGCUAAUGGGUUUAGCUACUCAUAAUCAAGGUAAAAAUCAAAGAUGGAGAUGAAAUAUAAGCCAUAAAUGUUGAUUACAAGAAUAAAAUCUAAGAUCAAUAACUAAAACUGCUCUAAAAUUACUCUAAGUGGUAAAAUACGGCUGUUCACGAGCUCCUCCAAGCAAAAGAUAACCUAAAAAUGUGAAAAAGAUCUAUUUAUACACAACUAAAAUUACUGGACAAAAAUACCCCUACGGAGGUUCCGCUGUCAGCGAAAUAAUUGGCACUUCAGCGCAUUGACUUUCGCAGCCGCACAAAAGCAGGAACACACCGCGUUUAUUCUCUUUUGUGCUUGGUCUGAACUUGAUUCCGUGGGGAGCGUAAAAGCUAUUGCCUCAGUGUUAGCAUCAACCACAGCCGCGCAAUUUGGACACGGACCGCACUCCUUAGUUAAGCUCAUUUUGCAGGGUCUCUGAACUUUGAUUGACGCUCUCAGCGGAAUUUGCACCGCAUCCAUGUCAGGUAUUCUGCGGCCGCGCUAUUUCGUCGCGGUCAGCAGUCCCUGUCUGCAUCCAAAACACCUUCUCUGAACCUCAAUUCCGCAGACCGCGUAAUUGUGACUGCCUCAGCUGUGAAACUUUCGCGGCCGCUCUUUUCCUUCGCGGUCAGCGCUUUUAUCUCAUCUUUGAACUUGUGCUGAUUUAACUCCUCUAUGAGCUGGUUAUGACAUUCUUGCCUCAUUUUGACCAAACCCUGUAGACAAGCACAAUAAGUCAAUUUUCGGGAAUACUUUCACAUAUUUUUUAUCCAAAACUUAAGCAAAAGAGAGCAUAAGAAAGGCUAGAAUCCAUAGUUAUUAACCAGCAACGCAGAGUCAUCAACUAUUCUCCAAAGUCUAAAAUCAGUCUGUAGCCUAUUCGAUACUCACCCGAGCCCCUCGAGCCAUAAACCAAACAUGCAUGCAAAUGUAAUAACAUCAACAAACUCACUUGUGAGAUCAAAAUACCAAAAUAACACAUAAAACUAUAAAUCAGACAUCAAAAUGUAUGAAAAUUUUGAAAAAAUUCAAGAACUUGAAAUUCUAUAACCAGUCUGAAUCACGUCAAAUCAACUCCGCAUUACACCAAAUUUUGCAGAAAAGUCAUAAAUAGUAAAAUGAACCUAUUCCAAGUUACAGACCAAAAUCCAAACCCGGUAUCAACAAAGUCAACCUACGAUCAAACUUAGGAAUUCUUAAAGCCUUCAAAUUACUAUUUUUCAACAAUUCACGUUAAAUUAAGUUAGGGACUUUCGAAUUUGACUACGGAUAUAUUCCCAAGUCCCAAAUCACGAUACAAACCCGCUGGGACCACCAAAACUCUUAUCCGAGUUCGUUUACCCAAAAACUUGACCAUAGUCAACUCAAAUUAGUUUUAAGGCAAAAUUUCACAUUUUUAAAACUUUUUUUACAUAAAAUAUUUCCGGAACAAGUUAUGGAUUGCGCGUGUAAAUCAAGGAGUACUGAAUGGAGCUAGUUGAGAUCUCGAAAGAACUAAAGGCUAGAACUCGAAAUGACAUAUCGGGUCAUCACAUUCUCCACCUCUAAAAUAAAUGUUCGUCCUCGAACGGACAUAGAAAAGUACCUGGACUGGUGAAAAGGUGUAGGUAUCUACUCCGCAUAUUCGACUCGGACUCCCACAUGGCUGCCUCGAUUGGCUGACCUCACCACUACACUUGAACUGAAAGAUAAAUCUUACACCUCAACUUCCGGACUUGCCGGGCUAGAAUGGCCACUGGCUCCUUCUCAUAAGUCAAAUCCUUGGCAAUUGGACAGAGUUGAAAUCUAAAUCAUGGGACAUAUCAUCUUGAUACUUUCGGAGCAUGUACACAUGGAACACUAGAUGGACUACUGAUAAACUAGGUGGCAAUUCCAGUUUGUAGGCCACCUCCCCCACUCUCUCAAGAAUCUCAAAGGGUUCGAUAUACCUAUGGCUCUACUUGCCCUUCUUUCUGAAUAUCAUGACACCCUUCAUAGGUGAAACUCGGAGAAAUACUCUCUCUCCAACCAUGAAUGUAACAUCACAAACUCUCCGAUCGGCAUAAUUCUUCUACCUAGACUGAGCUGGGCAAAAUCAAUCCUAAAUCAUCUUGACCUUUUCCAAGGCAACCUGAACCAAAUUGGUACGCAAUAAUCGAGCCUCUCCCAGCUCGAACCACCAAACUGGCAAACGGUGCUGCCUCCCGUAUAAUGCCACAUAGGGAGCCAUCUGAAUACUCGACUAGUAGCUGUUGUUAUAGCCAAACUCCGCAAACGGCAAGAACUGAUCCCAAGAACCCCGAAAUUCAUAACACAAGCGCGAAGCAUAUCCUCGAAUAUCUGAAUGGUGCGCUCAGACUGUCCGUCCAUCUGGGGUGAAAUGUUGUACUCAACUCAACCCAUGUGUCUAAAUCGCGUUGUACGUCCCUCCAAAAGUGUGAGGUGCACUACAUAACUCAAUCAGAAAUGAUGGACACUGGCAUACAGUGAAGACGGACGAUCUCACGGAUGUAGUUCUCAACUAACCACUCUGAAGAAUAGGUAAGUGCCACUAGAAUGAAAUGUACCAACAUGGUUAACCUGUCCACAACAACCCACACUGCAUCAAAUUUCUUCUGAGUCAGUGGAAGCCCAACAACGAAAUCCAUGGUAAUACGCUCCUAAUUCCUCUCAAGAAUCUCAAGCCUCUAAAGCAAUCCACUAGGCCUUUGAUGCUCAUACUUUACUUGUUGACAAUUCAAACACUAAGCUACAUAUGCAACUAUAUCUUUCUUCGUUCUUCUCCACCAAUAAUGUUAUCGCGAAUCCUGAUACAUCUUGGUGGCACCCGGAUAGAUGGAAUACCACGAACUGUGGGCCUCCUCAAGAAUCAACUCACGAUGCCCAUCCACAUUGGGUACACAAAUCUAACCAUACAUCCGCAACACCCCAUCAUCUUUAAUUGUAACUUGAUUGGCACCACUAUGUUGCACUGUGUCCUUACGGGAAGAAAAUAGGGGUAAUCAUAUGGAUACUCUCUAAUGUGCUCAUACAAAAAACACCGAGAGACUGUGUAAGCUAGAACAUGACUGGGCUCCAAAAUAUCUAACCUCACGAACUGAUUGGCCAAAGCCUGAACAUCUGAUGCUAGCAGCCUCUCCCUAACUGGAAUAUACGCAAGUCUACCCAUAGUCGUAGCCUUUCUACUCAAAGAAUCGACCACCACAUCGGCCUUCCCAGGAUGAUAUAAAAUGGUGAUAUAAUAGUCUUUUAACAGCUCCAACCAUCUCCAUUGCCUCAAGUUGAAAUCUUUUUUCUUGAACAAAUACUGUAGACUCCAAUGAUCCGUGAACACUUCACACGAUACGCCGUAGAGGUAAUGCCUCCAAAUCUUCAGUGUAUGAACAAUGGCUGCAAACACUAGGUCAUGAAUAUGGUAAUUCUUCUCAUGAACUUUCAACUGUUGUGACAUGUAUGCAAUCACCCUUCCAUCCUGCAUCAAUACUGCACCGAGCCCAAUACGAGAUGCAUCACAAUACACUAUGUACGAUCUUGAACUUAUGGGUAAUACCAAAACUGGAGCUAUAAUCAAGGCAGUCUUGAGCUUCUAGAAGCUCAACUUACACUCAUCCGAACACUAGAAUGGAGCACCCUUCUGGGUCAAUCUAGUCAAUGGGGCUUCUAUGGAUGAAAACCCCUCCACGAACCGGUGAUAAUAACCCGCCAAACAUAGGAAGCUCCUAAUCUCUAUAGCUAAAGUAAUUCUAGGCCAGUUCUGAACAGCCUCAAUCUUCUUAGGAUCCACAUUAAUGCCCUCUACAGAUACAACAUGCCCCAAAGAGUCGACUGAGUCCAACCAAAACUCACACUUUGAACACUUAGCAUAUAACUGACUAUCUCUCGGAGUCUGAAGUACAACUCUAACAUGUUGCUCAUGUUCCUCUCGACUGCGGGAGUAGAUCAUGAUAUCAUCAUUGAAUACGAUCACAAAUGAAUCCAACUAGGGACAAAUGACUAUCUCUCGGAGUCUAAAAUACAACUCUAAGAUGUUGCUGAUGCGCCUAUCGACUGCGGGAGUAGAUCAUGAUAUCAUCAAUGAAUACGAUCACAAAUGAAUCAAAGUAGGGAUUGAAUACCCGGUUCAUCAAAUCCAUGAAUACUUCUGGGGCAUUUGUCAACCCAAAUGCUAUCACUAGGAAUUCAUAAUGCCUAUACGGAGUCUGGAAAGCUAUCUUAGGGAUAUCAAAUGCCCUAAUCUUCAACUAACAGUAGACAGAUCGCAAAUCAAUCUUCGAAAAUACUUUGGCACCCUGAAGCUAAUCAUAUAAGUCACCAAUUAUCGGUAAUGGAUACUUGUUCUUGAUAGUCACAUUGUUCAACUAUCGAUAGUCUAUACACAUCUCAUCAAGCCAUUAUUCUUCUUCACGAACAACAUAGGAGGCGAGACACUAGGUCUAAUGAAUCCUUUAUCAAGAAAUCUUGCAACUGCUCCUUCAUUUCCUUCAACUCAGGUGGCGCCAUACGAUAUGGUGGAAUAAAAAUAGGCUGAGUGCCUAGAACUAAAUCAAUACAGAAGUCAAUAUCCCUGUUGGGUGGCAUCCCCAGUGGAUCGACAGGAAAAACCUCUAGAAACUCAUGCAUAACUGAAUCCAUGGAAGGAACCUCCGCACUCAAAUCACAAAUAUAGACAAAUAUGCUAGAUACCCCUUCUCGACCAUAUUUUGAGCCUUCACAUAAGAAAUAACCUUACUAGUGGAAUGGACAAGAGUCCUCCUCCACUCUAAUUGGGGCAACCCGGGCAUGGCCAAGGUCACCGUCUUGCAUGAUAAGGUGACAUCCCAUAUAUACCCAAGAUAACAUCAAAGUCCACCAUAUCAAGAAGUCAGAGAUCUACACUAGUCUUAAGGAUCCCGAUAGAAACCACACACAAGCGAUAAACGCAAUCUACAACAAUAGAAUCUCCUACAGCAAUGGACACAUAUACAAGAGCACUUAAAAAAUGACGAGGCAUAAUUAGAUAGGAAGCAAAAUAGGAUGACACAUAGGAAUAAGUAGAGCCCGGAUCAAAUAGAAUUGAAGCAUCUCUAUGGCAAACUGGAAUAAUACUUGUGAUAAUGGCAUCAGAUGAGUCGGCCACAAGUCUAGCUGGGAAUGCAUAAAAUCAGGGCUAGGCCCCACCACCCUAACCUCCAUCUCUCAAACGGUCUCUAGCUGGCUGGCCUCCACCUUUAACCGCCUAACCUCCACCUCUAACAGCCUGACACUUACCUAUUGCUGGUUGAGCAGGAAGUGAAGCAACCGGUGCCAGAACCAUGACACGAGAACUCUAUUGUGGCACGCUGCUCAAAAAUCUCAGACAGAACCUCUUGAUAUGACUAGUACCCCCACACUCAAAGCACCUAUCAUGUUGUUGUGGCUGCUGAAGCUGAAACUGACUCGAAAGGCAAGAUAACCUCAGUGGUAGCUUUAGAUCGGAGGCGCACUAAUAUGAGCUGAUGGUAUACUAUAGGUUGGCUGGCCAAAAUUGAGAUACAUAAGGGCCAUGACUACCCGAAGCACUAUGGGAUACCUGAAACGCUAACUGAAAUGGCCUAGGAGGAUGGCCUCUACCGAAAGUACCCCUACCUCUAGAUGAGGCACCAUCGAAACCAUCGGAAUAAGGAGGCUUCUUAUCAAACACUAGCCCCCUCUCCUAACCACGAACCAUCUCGAUUCAUCUAACAAUAUCCACGGCCAUCUGAAAAGAGAUAUCAUCUUCAGUCUCCUUGGCCAUCUGUAGCCUAAUACUAAAAGUGAGCCCAUCAGUGAUUCUCCUCACUCUCUCCCUAUCAUUGGGGAGUAAAGCAAUGGAAUGACAAGCUAUGUCUACAAAUCGAGUCUUAUACUGGGUAACAGUCAUACUACCCUGCUGAAGAUUGUUGGUUCCCCAAGUACAUGCAAGUAUACGUGGCCAUCAAGUAAUAAAGUGAUACAAAAGUCAGAUGUCGACCCCAUAGAGACUUAGAUUAUUCGUUAACUAAGCAAACUAAAAUUAAAUAAUUGUCCAAGAUAAUCAAAAAUAUUGUUUAUCUACUAAACAUCUCUUGCAAAUAUUGAACCAGUAAUUAGCUAAUUUAUUAGAGAUGUAAAUGGGUGUUUUGGAUUUUUCUCAGAGGAGAUAAAGAUUCCAGGGUUGUGGUCGGUUUGUCAAUCCUAUUGGGUUCGAAAUUACACAUAUUAAUCCACAUUACCUAUGAUUGCUAGUUGACUGGAUCGUUUAUAUAAAUAGUAUGUUCCUACAAUACUAUUCAUGUCUAUCCAUAAUAUAUCAACCCUAUAUUUCUAUGGUAUUGAAUCUAUAAUGAACGAAUAUAAUACGGUAUUCAACUAAGCAAGACUAUUAGGUAUAUUCCUAUCCUAACCGCGAAAUCUUUCCCCGAGCCAUGGGUUUAGAAACAAGAUCUCUCUAAUCCUACUCUAAUCUAAACACGGCAUUCCCAAGAAUAGUAUAGAAGUAAAUAGAACUCAAAUGAUGGCCAAAUAAUUAAGCAAUUGCACAGAAUUGGAGAAAUAACCAAAGAUGAUAACUCGAAUUAAUGGUAAUGUAAUUAAUAAACUUCAAUAUUCAUGACAACCACAACCCCAAAACGCGAAGUUUAGUUCUACAUAGACGUGGUAGCAAAACAACAAUUCAUCCAAAUAAAUAUAAAGAUUACUAUGUUUUAUGGAAGAAAGAUGGAAUCUGAUGAAUUCUGGCCUCCACGGCGGCUCCGUGCUCUGCCUUUGUCCAAAGUCUGUCUCCAAAACAUCCUCCUCCACAAGUCACGUUCUUUUUUCACAAAAGUGAGUUUAAAGACUAUUUAUAUGGGAUAGGGUUAGCAUGGGGUGAAAUAAUACAAGCCCGCUUGGAAACAGCCUUUUUAGGUUAGCUCGUUCACUCUCUCAUGCGCAUGCGAGAGUAAAUGAGCGAAGUUCUUCUCUUUUUCUUUUUCUCCUAGGUCUCUCGUGCAUUUCCAUGCCUUUUUGCUAUACUUCGCUAUUUAUUUUCAAGCUUUUCCUCAAUAGAUCGUUCACUCUCUCGUGUGCACACGAGAGUGAACGAGCAAAUUCCUUCUUUUGUCUUUUGGUCCUGAAUCAACUUCUUUUGCUCACAUUUUGUCCAACUUGCUCCUACACAUAAGAAUGCACAUACUGAGCAUAAUUCACUACAAAAACUCAUAUAACCUACCAUAACCACAAAAGUUAUAAGAUGAAAGUACACCGAAAAAUAUGUAUUUUGGCCAUUUAUCAAAGACGCACAAACUACCUGCAGUAAUCCUCUAUCAGAGUGAAAGGAAUGAAUUGCUCCAGAAAUAGUUAUGAAAACUGAUCCCAGGUAAGUGCAGGUGAACCAGCUAGUCUAGUCAAUAUAUAAUCUCUCCACCAUCUUUUGGCAGAACUAGUCAUCUAAAACACUGCAAAGUCGACCCCAUUGGUCUCAACAAUGCCAUUGUUACACAACACCUUGUGGCAAUGGUCCAACAAAAUUCUGUGGGCCCUCAGAAGAUGCACCGCUGAAAUGAACAAGAAAGAGAUUGGUGUUUUUGUCCAGCCUCAACAAGGCCUCAAAAGACAUAGCGGGCCUGUCACCGGUGUGUGCUGCAACAACCGGCUGAACCACCCCAACUGGCUGGGCUGCUGGAGUUUGAUAUAGGGGAGUCACCUGCUCCGGGGUAUGAGUAGGGGGAGUUUGUGAUCCUCCCCUAGCUCGAGAGACAGUUGGUGCCACAAGAAGUGCACCGAUCUAGGCCAUACUCUCUAUAAGGCCCACCAAGUGGACUAGAGUGUCCUGAAGCACUGUAGGGUCAAUGAACCCCUUUGGGACCUGAGCUGGUCCAAGGGGCAUGGUCUGAGCGGGGAUCACCUCCUCAUUAUCAAUUUGAGGCUCCCCUGCGGGUGUUGAGGCUCGAGCUCUAGGCUGAACUCUGCCUCUGCCUCUGCCUAGGCCUCUGGCUCGACCUUGACCUCGGCCUCUGCCCCUGUAGUAGCUGCAGCAGGGGGCUCUGGCUCCUAUUCAGCUACACAUGUUGUGUGUGUUCUCGCCAUCUGCUAGAGAACAAGAAUAGAAUGGUUCAAUCAUCAAUGAUAGAAUGAAAUCGCAUGAUAAAAAGAAAAAGAAGUGAAUUUUUUUCCUAAACUCUAGAGCUUCUAGAAGAUAAGUAUAGACUUCUCCGUACCGAUCUUCUAGACUCUCCUAAGCUUGCUCAUGAUUUGUGAGACCUAGGAAACCUAGUGCUCUGAUACCAACUUGUCACAACCCAGAAUUCUCACCCUCGAGACCGUGAUGGCGCCUAACAUUUCACUUGCUAGGCAAGCCAACAUUAGAUAUAGUUAUUAACCAUUUUUAACAAUUCAAGCCAAAUGAAGACCAAUAAGCUUAAUAAACUGAAAUAAAUAAAUAAACUAACAAACAGCGAUAUCCAAAUACAACCCCAAAACUGGUAUCACGAAUACACGAGCAUCUAGAGUACUACAAAUAAUAGUUUGAAUAAAAACAGAACUGUCUGAAUUAAAAUAAACAACUAAGGUAAUGUAGAAGGGGAUUUCAGGGCUGUGAAGGUUGUGUAGCUAUACCUCAAGUCUCUGUCGAGCAUUGGAUCCGAGCAAAUCUACUGACCGCCGCUAGGCCCAACUCCAAAUUCUCGCUCUGCAAAAAGUCAACACAGGGCUCGCCUAGUCAAAACCUGUGUCCAAUGGUAUAUUUUAACUAUCCAUGACCCCACGAGUUCAUAUAUGUGAUUAGUUUUAAAAUUCGAGUCCAAAUCGAUCUCAAAAGUCAAUUUCUUAUUUUUUUUAAAACGUGACAAGGUUUCACAAUUUUUUACAUUGAUUCACAUGAUUUGAUGUUCAAAUACAAGAUAACUUGAUGGAAUAUGAUUAUAAAUAGGUUAGAAUCACUCACCCAAAGUUUGUAGAUGGAAUUCCCUCUUCAAAAUCAUCUCCUACAGAGCCUAGGGUCCAAAUUAUUAAAAUGAGGCUAAAAAUCCCGUCCUUCAGCUUUUUGUACAGCCGCAAAUGCGAUGCAAAGAAUUCAUCACAAAAGAGAACUCUCCACAUCUCUAUUUUCAUCGCAAUUGCGAUGACUAGUUCGCAAAUGCGAAUAUUGGAACUUCGCAAAAGCGAUCAACUGAUCGCAAAUAUGAUCCCCCACCGAGCCUGGAUAUGUAAUUUGUUUCGAAAUCUAACCUCAAUUUGAGGUCUAAAUCUCAAUAUUACAAAUUUCCUAAAUUCGACCCAAACCCCUAAUUUCUACCUUAAAAUUCAUAGAUUUGAUGUUAGAAAGUAAUUUAAAUUGAUUGAAAACUAGUUAAAGAUGCUACACAAUCAAUUUGGGAAGAAAUGUUUUUUCAAAAAUCGCCUCUAGAGAGCUUAGGGUUGAAAAUGCUGUAAAAUGAGCUAAGUCCCGAAUUUUUCAAACUUUUACCCAGCUGCAGAUAUCACAAUUACGAACUCUUGUUCGCAAUUGUGAUGGACCCAAGUGCGAAAUACUGAUCACAAAUGCGAUUAGUGUAUCAGUCCCCAAGAAUUCGCAAAUUUAAAAUAUACCUCGCAUUUGCGAAGUCCCCAUCCAUCGCAAAUACAGUGCAUGCUUCGAAAAUGCGAACCUAUUCUCACCAACCACUGUGUCGAAAAUGUGACUUUGAGAUUGCAUAUACGAUCCCAGACAAGUUUUCAAAAGCGAACUUUACUUCGCAAAUUGCAAAGUGCCAUCCCCCAGGACAUGUUCGCAUUUGUGAGCCUUGCAUUGUCACACCAGCAAUUGCAUUGCUUCAACAGUUCCAAACCAUUCUGCGAUGCAUCCGAAACUCACCCGAACCCCUCGGGCUCCGCACACAAGUGUAAUAACAUCCUACAAACUUGCUCGCUACCUCAAAUAAUAAAAAUCGAUCAUCAAAACUCAAGAAUUUCAACUUAAAACUGAAUUUUGACAAUCUUUCAUAUAAUGCGCUGAAAUGUGCUCAGGCCACUCCGAACCCCAAUCAAACAUGUGUACAAGUCCAAAAACAUCAUACGAACCUAUUGGAAUUGUCAAAAUACCAAUCUGAGGUUGUUUACCAAAAAUGUUGACCGCUAUCAACUCUAGCCUCAUUUUAAGUCAAAUUUUAUUUUCUUCAAAAUUUCACAUAAAAGCUUUUUGGAAAGUGUCACGGACCAUGCACGCAAAUUAAUAAAUAUAUAAUGAAGCUAUGAGAGAUCUAAUACAGAUAAAUUAAGGUUAGUACUCAAAAUAUAGGUCAAAAUCUCUUCAUGUUGCACCGUGUAGAAGUCCAAAAUAUAUGACUUAUCCUCAUGGUACUUCCGAAGCAUGAAGACAUAAAAUAUCGGAUGUACCCCUGCUAGGCUAGGAGACAAUGCAAGCCUAUAAGCAACCUCCCAAACUCUCUCCAAGAUAUCAAAUAGGCCAAUAAACCUCGAGCUAAACUUUCCCUUCUUCCCAAAUUCAUAGGCAACAUUCGGAGAAGAACUUUCUCACCUACCAUGUAAGCCAUAUCUCGAACCUUCCGGUCCGUAUAACUCUUUUUCCUGGACUAAGUUGUACGAAGUCGCUCCUAAAUCACCUUAACCUUCUCCAAAGCAUCACGGACCAAAUCAAUGCCACACAAUCUAGCCUCACUAGGCUCAAACUAACCAAUCAGCGAACAGUAUCAUUCCCAAUAUAUAACCCCGUACGGAGCCAACCAGAUGCUCGACUGAUAGUUGUUAUUGUAGGCGAACUCCACUAGAGGAAAAAAUGGGUCCCAUUGAGCACCAAAAUCAAUAGAUCAUGCCCGCAAAACGUCCUCCAAAAUCUGAAUAGUGUGCUCAGACAAUCCGUCCAUCUGAGGAUAAAAUGCGAUACUCAAAAAUGUUGGAAAUGGGUAUGCCGUGUAGGCGGAUAAUCUCCUAGAUAUUGUCAUAUUUCCUGAAGGUCCGUGGUAAGCCUACCAUAAAAUCUAUAGUGAUGUGCUACCACUUCCACUCCGAUAUCUAUAAUAUUUGAGUCAACCCGACCUAUUUAUGAUGUUCGUACUUCACUUGUUGACAAUUCAAACACUAAGAGACAUGAUCAACAACACCUUUCUUGAUUCUCCACCAAAAAUACUGAUGUUUCAAGUCAUGGUACAUCUUCGUGACACCUGGUGAAGGGAAUAGCGUGAAUCUUGAGCCUCUUCAAGGAUCAACUCCCUCAACCCAUCAACAUUUGGAACACAAAUCUAGCCUUGAAGCCACAUAACACCAUCAUCUCCAAUCACAACCUCCUUAGCACCACCCCGCUGCACUGUGUCCCUCAAUACAAACAAGUGAGGAUCGUCAAACUUGUGAGCCUUGAUACAAUUCAGCCACUAAGACUGUGCCACAAUACAGGCAAGAACCAGUUUAGGCUCCGAAAUAUCUAACCUCACAAGCCGAUUGGCCAAAGCCUAAACAACCAUGGCUAGUGUUCUCUCCACUACUGAUAAAUAUGCCAAACUGCCCAUGCUCUCAGCAUUCCUACUCAAUGCAUCAGUCACUAUAUUCGCCUUCCCCAGAUGAUACAGUAUGGUAAUAUCAUAGUCUUUCAACAACUUUAACCAUGUCCACUGCUGCAAAUUAAAGUCCUUCUACUUGAACCGGUGCUAGAGACUUUGAUGGCCGGUAUAUACCUUAGAUGGAAUGGCAUAGAGAUAGUGCCUCCAAAUCUUCAACGUGUAAACAAUGGUUUUCAACUCUAAAUCAUGCAUAUGGUAAUAUUUCUGAUGAAUCUUCAACUGACGAGAGGUGUAGGAAAUCACCUUACCAUCCUGCAUCAAUACUGCACCAAUUCCAAUACACAAUGUGUAACAAUACACUGUGUAAGAUCCCGAACCUAUAGGCAACACCAACACUGGAUUUGUAGUCAAUGAAAACUCACCUCACACUCGUCGGACCAUCUGAAAAGAGCACCCUUCUUGGUUAACCUGGUCAAUAGGGCUGAGAUAGAUGAAAAUCCUUCCACGAACCGGCGAUAAUAUAACCCGACAAACCCAUGAAGCUCCGAAUCUCUAUAGCUGAAGUGGGUCUAGGCUAGUUAUGAACUACCUAAGUUUUAUUAGGAUCCACCUUAAUUCCCUCAGAAGAUACAACAUGUCCUAAAAAGAAAACUGAGUCCACGCAAAACUCACACUUUGAAAACUAGGCAUAUAAAUAAUAAUCCAUCAAGGUCUGAAGUACGAUCCGGAGAUGUUGCUCAUGAUCCUCUCGACUAUGGGAGUAAAAAAAAUAACAUCAAUGAAAACAAUCACAAAGGAAUCUAGAUAGAGCUUGAACAUCCGGUUCAUCAAAUCUAUAAAGGCUACUAGAGCAUUAGUUAAGCCAAAUGACAUCACCAAGAACUCGUAAUGACCAUAACGAGUCCGAAAAGAUGUCUUGGGGACAUCCGAUGCCCUAAUCUUCACCUGAUGAUAGUCAGAUCUCAAAUCAAGCUUGUAAAGAACCUUGGCACCUUGAAGUUGGUCAAAUAAGUCAUCAAUCCUCAAAAACGGAUACUUGUUCUUGAUAAUGACCUUGUUCAAUUGGCGAUAAUCUAUUCACAUUCGCAUCGGUUCAUCUUUCUUCUUUACAAACAAUAUUGGUGUACCCCAAGGCGAGACAUUAAGUCUAAUGAAUUCCUUUUCAAGCAAAUCAUGCAACUAUUCCUUCAAUUCUUUCAACUCAGCUGGGCCAUAUGGUAUGGUGGAACAAAAGUGGCCUGAGUCCCCAGAAUCAAGUCAAUGCAAAAAUUGAUAUCUCUGUCGGGUGGCAUCCCUAGCAAAUCUAUAAGAAACACCUCAGGGAACUCAUGCACAACUGGAACCAAAUCCAUGGAAGGAAACUGUGCCCUAAAAUCAUGGAUAUAGGCCAGAUACACUAGACACCCCUUCUCAACCAUAUGUCGAGCAUUCACAUGUGAAAUGAACCUGCUAGUGGAAUGACCAGGAGUCCUUCUCCACUCCAAUCGAGGCAUCUCGGCAUGGCUAACAUCACAAUCUUGGCGUUAUAAUUUAAUAUAGCAUGCUACGGUGAUAACCAAUCCAUGCCUUAAAUCACGUCAAAAUCCACCAUAUCAAAUAAUAGAAGGUCAACCCUACUCUCACAGAUCCUGAUAGUGACCAAAAAAGCACGAUAGACCCGGUCUACCAUAAUAGAAUCCCCAACGAGCAUAGACACAUAAACAAGAGCACUUAAAGAAUCACGAGACAUAUCAAAAUAUGAAGUAAAAAAGGAUGACACAUAUGAAUAAGUGGAACCCAGACCAAAUAAAAUGGAUGGAUCUCUAUGGAAAACUGGAAUAAUACCUAUUAUGACUGCAUCUCUAUGGCCUCUCGAUCUGCCUAGCAAUCUCUAUAACCAUAGUGAAGGAAAUAUCAUCCUCGAUAUCUCUAGCCAUCUAUAGCCUGAUACCAUAAGUAAGGCCAUCUAUAAACCUCCACACUCUCUCCCCAUCUCAGUAAGGAUCAGGAUAGCUACAUGGCAUGAUAGAUUCACAAAUCUGGUCUUGUACUAGGUAACAAUCAUGCUACCCUACUGUAGGCGCUCAAGCUAGGCGUAGGUCCUCUCUUUGAGUGACCGGUAUGAACUUAUCCAAGAAUAGAUGUGAGAAAUGAUCCCAAAUAAGUGGAGGUAAACCUGUUGAUCUGCCCUGAACAUACUCCUAUCACCACAUCUUGGAAGAGCCAAGAAUUUGAAACAGUGCAAAGUUGACUCUAUUAGACUCCACUACACCCAUGUUGUGCAAUACCUUGUGGCAACGGUCCGAGAAAUCUUGUGGAUCCUCAGAAAGUGUACCACCAAAACGAAUAGGAAAUAGCUUGGUGAACCGGUCCAACCUCUUCAUGUCCUCGGACAACAUCAGAGGUCCCUCUCCAGACUGUGUAGCAACAAUAGACUGAACUACUCCUACUACUGGAACUGUCGGAGUUUGAUAUUCGUGAUCCAUCUAUCUGGUGUAUGAGUAGCAGUAGUCUGGGCUCCUCCCCCAGCCUGAGAUACGGCUAGUACCAUAGGGAACACACCGUCCUAGGCCACACUCUCCAUAAGUCCACCAAGCGAACUAGGGCAUCCGAAAGUGCUGGGGUGGCAAUGAGCCCCUCUAGGACCUGAGCUGGUCCAACAGCCACGGUUUGAACAGGGACCGCCUUCUCUUGCUCGAUCUGAGGCUCUGCAAUAGGUGUUGCUGCCUUUUUUCUAGGCUGAGCUCUGCCUCUACCUCUGGCUCUCUCUCGUCCUUGGCCCCUACCCUUUGUAAUGGCUGCAACCUGGAGCCCUGACUCCUCAUCGAUUAUGGAUGUUGUACGUGUUCUCAUCAUCUAUGAAAGAACAAGAAUAGAAUGAUAUAAUAAAAUCACACGAUAGAGAAAGAAGUAAAAUUUUCCUAAAGCCUUAUAGCCUCUAGAAGAUACGUAUAGACGUCUCCAUACCGAUCCUCAAGACUCUACUAAGUUUGCUCAUGACUCGUGAGAGCUAGGCAACCUAAUGCUCUGAUAUCAACUUGUCACGAUCCAAAAUUCCAACUGUGGGUCCAUGAUGGCGCAUAACACCGCUUACUAGGCAAACUAACACAACAGGGUAAUACAGAAAGAAACAGGUAGAUAUCUAAUAAUUGAACGAUAACAUAACAUAAAACACCCCGAGAUUUGGUGUCAAUAGUACAUGAGAAUCUAAAUCUAGCUAAUUAAAAGGGUUUAAAAGAUUCACAACUCUAUCUGAAAUGAAGCAGAAACAGUACAAUUGUAUACGGCCAAAAUCGGGGAGUUCAAUUUUGGGGCAAUUGUGGCACUCCACACCCGUUCUUGGGAAGCUUGAAGCAGAAUUUGAAAUCUGACCCCAAGGUGCGUAUCUCGAGGGAGCAUAUCGAAAGUUCACUGUGGUUAGUCUCGGAGCAGUACAAAUCGAUGAUCGUCAUGGAAAGGCAGGAAAGUUCCGAAGGAUACGUGGUUAGAGCUGACUAGGUCUGCAAGAAUAGUACAAAUCCGUACUGAGCCAUUAUACAGAUAUACCAAUAGCAUUUUCUCGUUAUUAUUAAACAUGUACUAUAUUGGGAUUCCCCCUUUAUAUAUAAAGGGGACUCUUAUCAUUUUGUAGAAAGGGAUGAAUAUUGAAUAGAAUAGAAUAUUCUCUGCUUUUCUUGCCUAAACGUGCUCAACAAUUACUCUACAGAUUUAUUGCAUGUUCUAGUAUUGUUCUUUAUUUAUUGCCCAUUAUUAAGCGCAAAAAGCCAUCCUCGAGGCCUUUGAUAUCUUUGUUUCUUCAUCAAUUGUUCAUUGCUAACUGCCCUAACUAGACCCCAAGGCCCCCCUAUUCCAGCCAGCUCGAGGCCCAGUCUUGUGACAACAUUGGUUUGCAUAUCUUAUUCUCUUUUACGCUUAGCAUCUAUUGCCUAACAACUAGUAUUGAAAUAAAUCACAUAUAUUUAGAACCACAAAAUCAAAUAUAAUUGUUAAUAGCAUUUUCUAGGUAAAUAGUUUGGCGCCCACCGCGGGGCUAGAAAUAAUAGUGAUUGUUUUGGUGCUAGGUUUCUGAAAACACAAGUUAUUCUUCACACUUUUUCUUGUCCAAGAAUCUUUGAUUUCAGGUAAAAAAAAUGCCUAACUCAGCAAAUGCACACGAAAACAAUGGUAUUAGGCUUCAUGAAGAGAAUGGUAGAGAUGCCGGUGUACCGCCACAAAACCCUGGAGUGGCACCAACACAAAUCCCCAUCGACGUGAGCUUACGUAACACUGUGCAUAUCGAUGUGAGCUCUCAUACCAAUGGAAGUGUGCGCGGGGAAAACCAAUAUGAAGCGCAAGGGACUCCAGCACGGGAGGAAAGAUAAGUUAUCCUUCAAGUCAUUUUUGAGAUGUUACAAGCACAACAAGUGGCUAUUGCUCAACUACAAAAUGAUGAAGUUUCCAACCAAGAAUGGAGCAAAAACAGUGUACGGGGAGCAGCAUGCAGCAAGAGAGAUGUUUGCAGUGCACGACGUGGCACCGACAUCGAUGCCCUCUACAUCGAAGAAGCCAAAGGACAAGCAAAUAGUCAAGUAGCAACCAUAACCUACAUUCUUGGCUGCACCCGAAUGAAUAAAUAAAGGACCGUGCCACGUCCUUAGAGCAAGCGAUUGAAACGUAUCGAGGCUCAAACUCUAUCAUUAUUAAGGUACAACCCUCUCCCUUUUCAUUUAUGUUUCAUACUAACUUAUUGCAUGUGUUCGAUUAAGAUGAAUCGAAGCACCCUCCAUCUUGAAGGCCCCGGGUUUUAAAGCAUGUGUUACGCCCUUUUUCCCUUAGAUCGGAUUUUCUCCCAAAUGGGUUUUAUCGGCUAGGUUUUUAACGAGGCAACACCUAUAUACUCCGAGGAAACAAGUAUUCAAGGCUUCUUUUCAAUCAGCCUCGAAUACUGGAGGCAUCACCCGCGGAGGUUACAAUUUUGGGAAAAACAUACUUCACGUCCAAAAGGGCCCUGAUAGGCAAACUUCGUAAUGGGCCAAACGGUCAAACAAGCCAUGUCCAUAUAGAAUAGUCGAGCCCGGGCAGCAAAACAUGUACGCAUGUAUCGACUAUUUGAAGAAACAUUCAGAAUAUAUCAAAAAUUCUUUGUGUCUCAUACAAGCUCUAUACUUACAAUCCUACGGGAAACGGCUCAAGGGCCAAAACACCCCAAAAUAUCCGGGGACUGUCACUGACAGACAACACGUCUGAGUCAUCGAAAACUCGGACCUAUAAGACCUCAAAGAGGCAUCUCCCUCGAAACAAAGGCCAAGGUCACUAUACUCGGGGACUAACUCUUCGGACAAGUUCGAAGAGUUAUCAGGAAGCAAGUCCAAGUAACAUACGCGAAGGCUACGACCAUAUUAAAGACUACGGUCAGAUAAAGGCUACGGCCAAAUAAUACGGCUCGGAGACGUCCGACUUCCGCAAAAAUAGGUUAAAUCAGGAUACCCUCGGCAAAAAGCUAAAUACAAAGGGCUUCGAUAAAUUCAGCCCUCGAAAAUUCCAAAGGCUUCGAUAACAUCGACCCUUGGAAACACCUCAAGAGGUGUUCGACUAUGUUUACACAAACGAAUUACUAAUAAGGUUCUGAUAUGUUAAACCUUCAAAAAACCCACGGGUACGAAAAAUACAUGCUAAGGCAUAAUAAAAAAUUUACUAAGUCUUUUAAGCCAAAAUGAGGGGAAAAUUAUAUAGCCAUACUAAGAGGCCGAACCGGCCCAACUUAAAAGAGCCUAAUGGACGAGAUAUAAUAGCCUAAGGGCCAACUUAAAAUAGCCUAAGGGCCAACCUUAAAAGAACCUAAAGGCCGAGAUAUAAGAGCCUAAGGGCCAAUCUAAAAGAGCCUCAGGGCCGAUCCACGGAGCCUAAGGGCCAAUAUGUUGAAAACCUAAGGGUCAACAAGCCCGAGUCAAAACUUGAUUCGAGGACCGAGCCCUUAAAUGGUCAACUACUAUCAAUUACUCAUCAAGCACAACCUAAGGGUUCUUAUCAUAAAGUCCAACAUAUCGAACUAAUUAUCGGCAAGCAUCAAAACUCAAAACAUAAACAAAUACACAAGUAAGUGGAAAUUUAUAUAAACGGAAAACCAAAGGGUUCCUUUUUUAUUAUAAAUAAUGGUACAAAGAUACAUUUUCAACACUCCCACAGGGAGCCCUAUACAAAGAAUAAGAAAUAAAAACCUAAUCUACGCUCGGGAACUUAGCCUUUCCCCCUUCGAGGACUAUGUCUAUAUCAGCUCCCUCACCGGCCUCCUCCUUGUUGUCUUCAACAUCGGAAACGAGGAAUAUGGCAUCGAACUUAUCCGCCUUGGCCUGCUCUAUCUCCUUCGAGAGAUCGAAGCCUUUACCAUGAAUCUCCUCAAGAGUUUCCCUCCGGGAUCUGCAUCAGACAUAUUCAUUACUUCUCCCCUCUCGAUUGAAAGCCCCCCCCCCCCCUAACUUUGUACGAGCUUCAGCAGCACCUUUCAGAUAGAUGGCCACCUUUUUAUUGGCCUUUGCUCGGGCCUCAUCCGCUUCGGCUCGAGAAUCCAUAACUUUGGCCUUUAUCUUCAAAAGACCUAUUUCAAGCCUAGCAAUCCUACUCGUCUAGACCGAGUUGCUUUUUUGAGCAUUAUGAAGUUGUAUCUCGAGGGCAGAAACCUUAGCCAAAGCGUUCCUUUUUGGCCACAACAUGAACAUCUAUAUGUGCCUUCAAUUCGUUGCGUUUAGAACCUACUAGCUUCGCCCCGAAGGCGUUCCAGCAUCUCUGUCUUUCUCUACAACUGAAAUACCAAAACGUUAGUUUUCGAAAAUGGGAAAAGAAGCAUGUAUUCCUUCAAAAUAGAGGUUACCUGUUUCUCGAGGUUGCCUUCGUAAUCAUGACUUUUGUUCAACUCCGAUCGAAGAUGUAUCAGCUCUCUUGUCUUCUUAUCACAAAGAAGCCUGGGAGAUUUUUCCCCAUUCAAGGCUUUACGCAACUUAGCCUCACAGCAAAGUAGCUCAGACUUGAGCUUAUCGAAGGCCUAUGAGAAAGAUGGUUCAGUUAAAAAGAAGAAAGUAUGAAGUUAGAAAAGUUACAAUGACUUCAAAACUCACCACAGAGUAGAGUCGUUGAGCUUCCUCGAAGGUCAAUUUCGUAUCUACUGACCCGGUCUCAUCGACCUUGAUAGAGCAACCGGAGGCGCUCUGAUUGGGCGGAGAUACGUCGAAGCCCAUUUCCCUCAGAGUACUUCCCGACGUCUGAGAACCAGCUUCCAAAUUAGGUAAUGAAGGACCUUUGCCCCUUCUCUCUUGUGGAAUCUCUCCCUUGAGACUAAGGGCCUCGAGCCCAGUAGGCUCAAGAUUCUCGGGAGGCCUCCUGGUUCGAGCCAUAAAUGUAGAAUCAUCCUCUCCGGGUGCAUUGAUGUCCUCAGAACAACCGAUAAAUAUGAGAUCUUCGCCAGCGGCAACGUCCUCCUCGCGUCCCCGGGCAGGUCCUGCUUUGCUAUGGUAAUUAUCGUCCUUCGGGGAUCUUUUUCUUUUAUUAUCCUUCCUUUUCUCAGAAAUUGAAUACCCUUCCUCCUCCUCAAAAGGGGACGAUCUUGCCUCAAAAAACUCACUGAUGCCUACAACAAAGAAAUUAGUGUACGUAAAGGAAAGUACUCCUCGAGAGAAGGACUGCAUAGCACGUACCAUGGUGCUUAGCCUCCCAUUUGCCCUUCAACUAAACUCUCCACUUGCGCUCGUCAUAAGUCAAAGAGGCCGCCAGUUUAUGGGCUUAUUCUCAAGAUCGAGUACCUCAUCUGGCAUCCACGGGAUCGCAGCGGAAAAGGAAAGAAAAUGUUCUUACGGAAUCUAGCUCCAUCGAGAACAAAAAAUAAUAGAGUACAGUAUAUCACUUACGCUUGAAAUUCUAUUUCUCGGGCAACGGUAGUAACUCCACAGGAAUAAUAUCAACAUCCCUCACUCGAAUAAACCGACUCAUCCACCCUUGAUCCUGUCCUCGUCAUCACUAGCAAUAAAGGGCUUGGUGGAUCAAAGUCGUAGUGUAAUUAGACCUCGAUGAUGAAAAGGCCGGUACAAUCUAAUGAGGUGGCUAAGAGUGAACUCAAGCUCGGCCUUUUCAGCAAAUAAAUCUCAUCAUCAACACGAUCUACCAGAAAGACAGAUGGAUCUGAGCCAAAGUAACUCAAUAUAUUCUACAAAAUUCAAGAACGAGUCGGUCGAGAGGACCCAACGUAAAAAGGUACGUGUACACAUUCAGAAACCCCUCUACGUGGGCCAUAAUAUCCUCUUCCCGGGAGGGUAUCUGCAGCCUCACCUUUUCUCCCCAUCUGCAGUAUCUCCUCACGGCCUCGAGGAUCUAUCUUCUAUUGAUCGAAUAAACCUCGAUGCAUGUUCUUGAUGGCCCGGAAUGUUGAGAGGUCUCUCUAUUAUAAAAUCUCCCAUCGUGAUGAAGCAGUUCGAAGUUAGCUCACCAACCACCGGCGGUAUACCACUGGCCGGACGGGAAGCAGAGGUGGGACUUCCCUCUUUCUAGCGAGCGAAUUUGGCCAUUGUAGCCAUAAUUCCUUCAAAACAAGAAAGGGAAGAUGAAAACUCAGGCGAAAUCUUUGGUCUGAUGCGGCACUAGAACUAGCGCAAAAAAAGAAACUCUAUAGAGAAAGGUAGUUGCACAAAGCGGCAAAGCCCUCAAUGAAAGGAAAGCAAGUAUAUGUAAGAAGAGAUGCGCUAUUCAUUAACUUUGAUAGCUAAUCAGCUCUGACAAAGCAAUUAUGACUUUUUGGGAAAAUGUACUGAUGGGGCCAUUUCGAUCACUUUAUGGUCAUGUCACAGGAAUGAUGUCACCAUACAAUGUUCGAAGGAUCAAGAAGUCAAAUUGAUUCCUUGCCAACCCGACCUAGAGAAGGUAUGCAAUUGAAAUAAGAACAACCCGAUCUCAAGGGUCUCUGUUACUCCAAGACAGAACUCGAAGGAGUUAAAUUCUAUUUCGAAGCUUGAAUUUGGCAUGAACACUAAAAGGCAAAACUUUGAAAACAUUAAACAAGAAAAUCCUUUGUAUUCCAAAAAUAUAAUUAAAAAGGUGAAUUUACAAAACUCCCACGCGGAGUCCACAUACAAAAGAAGAAGAAGUAAAAAUAGAAAAGGUGACCUAUUCUUCAUCUUCACCACUCCCCGAGCUACUUGCAGAGCCCUCGUCCGAAGUAGUUAGAUCUGUUGACUCCUCCUCCAAGGCCUUCGCUUCAAUCUCGGUAGAGAGAUCGAAACCCUUGGCAUGCACUUCCUCAAAGGCCUGCCUCCGAGCUUCUAAUCGAGCAUGUGCAAUGGCGCGAGCCAGUUUGAGCUCGGACUCUUGAGAUAUCUCCUUGGCUCAAGUAUUCGUUGUAGUAGCAACUUCCCGAAAUGACAAUAUGAGUGCAUCAGCUUCAGACUUGGCCGUGGAUAACGCGACAGCUAACUCAGCAUGAAGCGUCUUGAAUUUGUGAGCUUUCUCUUUAGAACCUUGAAGAAGACCCUGAGUUGAGGCCAGAUCCUCUCGGAGAGUAUCCUUUUCCGAGGCCAUGCUAUCCUUGUGCCGCUUCAGCUCAAGGAUUUCGGCAUCUUUGGCAGCAAUCUCUUCCCGAAGCUGCCCCGCUAGGGCAUUUUUUCGCUCAAUCUACAAAUGCCGAGUCAAGGUAAUAAACACCAAGUUAUGAAAACAAAAGGUAAGCUCAUAAAUACCAAACUACCUGCUCGAUGAAGUUGGGCUGCUCUUGGAGCACUUUCUACGAGCUUGCUCGAAGGUUGUUCAAUUCCUCCUCCCUUUGGAUGUAUAGAGUCUUUAGCUUAUUUGAAUCUGAAGUGAGCUUCUCGAACUCCUCCGCACAAUGAGUCAGUUCAGCUUAAAACUUGGAGAAGGCCUGGUCGUACAGCAUCGCGACCUAUAGUACGAGGGGAAGAAGUUAGAAAAACAAAGAUCAAAACUCAAGUCACAAAGGUUAUGUCAAAAAUCACAUGUUGUUGGAGUUUUGCAGCCUCCUCGAGAAUGACUGGGGCAUCGAUAUCAGCAUCCUCUCCAACACCGGCAAAAAAUCUCUAAAUGCAUCAUCCUCUCCCUGUGAAUCCCCUACAUCGGAAGUCUCUCUGUUCUGGGCAUCUCGUAUUUGCCCUAGGGAAAACGACGGGGUUGGUUGAAGAUCACCUAUGGCAUCAACCUCUAUCGGGGCUUCCUCUCGCCCUCAAAGGGCCUCAGAGCUAGAUUCUCUGAAUGCACCAACCAAGUACUCAUCGGCACAAGUUGUAUCCUGUUCAAUGGUCAGCUCAGGGACUGUAUCCAAACCCUCCUCAAUAUGAGGUGGGACCGCAUUGGCUAUCUCUAGCCCGGUAACCUUCAAAACAUCAGUGUUUUAUAUUGCCCUAUGUACUAGUGGGCAACCGUCAUCAUCUUUGUCUUCAGGACGAAGACUCUCAGUAGCUGCCAAAGUUAGGACCGUUGCAUUGGCCCUAGGCUUUCGAGCCUUAGCUCUCUUUGGUUUUGGGGACUCCGUCAGUGUCUCUUUUUUCUCUUUCUAUCUUUGGUGGGUUUUUGGGUCUCCUUUUUCCUAGAAGAAGGCGGUCUCAUUGAAACGGCUUCCCCGAGGCCUGUACAAGCAUAAAAUGUCAAACAUACUGCCAAAAAAUCUAUUUAUAAGGAAUUUAAAAGUGAUAGUGGUGAGGGUGUACCGUGAUUUUUGGCCUCCCAUCGAGUUUUGGCCAAAUCAUGCCAAACGCGCUUGUCGUAUGAGGAGGUGGAGUCUAAAAUUCUAACCCAUCCUGGGAGGUCCUUGAUUGCGUUGGGGAACCACACGGUGGCUAUGCAACCGGAGGAGAAUCAAUUCAAAAAAGAAAGGAAUUAGUUAGAAAGAGGAAAAGAGGACAUCUAGAUGAUAAAACAUGCUCGGUGUAACGACACUUAUGCCUCAUAUUCCAUUCCUCAAUGAAUGGCAUUUUCACGGCAGGGAUGAGGUCCGAAGUCCCGACUCAAACGAAGCGGCGCAUCCACCCCCGGUCUUUAUCUUCUUCGAUACUAGCAAAAAAUGCUUUGGUAGAUCGAUGACGUAGUUUGACUAGGCCCGCUCGAUAGAGACGAGGGCUAUACAAUCUAAUCAGAUGAUCGAGGGUGAAAGGCAUCCCCUCGACCAUGUUUGAAAAAUAUCUAAUCAAAUAGACGAUUCUCCAAAAAGAGGGAUAAAUUUGACCAAGCGUCACUCGAUAUUUUUGACAAAAAUCGAGGAUCAAGGGGUCUAUCGAUGGAGAAGAAGAAUCUACGGGACCUAAGGUAAAGGGAUACGUAUAUACGCUGAGGAAACCAGCCCUAUGUGUAGUUAUAUCCUCUUCCGAUGAAGGGAUAUCUACUUGAACCCCCUCUCCCUAAUGGCAAUCUAUUUUCACCUUCUUUGUGUCGGUUAUUAGACUAAUGUACCGAUACAUGGGCUUGCAUCAUCCCGGUACCGAAGAAGGUCUAUUAAUUUUGAAAUCGAAGGAUGUCUUGAGGGGCCCAGAAAUACACUCCUCAAUACGAGGAGGCGCUAUCUUUUUGCUCUUAGACGAGCGUGACGAAUAAGGGGCUUCCUCUUUUUGAGGUAUUGUCUUAGCAGUUUUGGCCAUGGUUAUAACAAAGUUUCAAGGUAAGCUGACGAAGAAGUGAACACAGAAGAAGGAUGAAGACAGGGAACUGUUAACAAAGAUUUGAAGAUUUGAAGAUGUUGUAAAGGUUUAAAAGAUAGAGAAUUGGAGUAUUUAUAAGAUUCAUCCAAGUGUAUUGGAGGAGUUGAAAUAACGACCAAUAGCGGUUCGUGGGCUUUUCGAGAACCGUGUUGACAAGACUUGUGAUGACCUUUUGGGUCAUCACUUAUUUUAGAAAUAAAUUUUGUAUUCUGAGGCCUUAAAAACCUCUUUUUAUCUCAACUCAAUUUGCGUGCGCAGUCCGGUCAUGUAUCUGGAAAGCCAUUCUGUGAAAAUCUGUAAAAACAAAUGAUAAAUUUUGCUUUUAAAAUGAAUUUAAGUUGACUUUGGUCAAUAUUCUUGGUAAACGGACCCGGACCUGUGAUUCGACAAUCUCGUAGGGUCCGUAGUAAAAUUUGGGACUUGGGCAUAUGCCCAGAAUCGAAUUCCGAGGUCCCAAGCCCAAGAAAUAAAUUCUUAAAGAAAAUUAUUUUCUGGAAUAUAUAAGAGUUUUUGGAAAUGAAAUAUGUUUGAAAUUGAUGGUAUCGGGCCCGUAUUUUGGUUCCAGAGCCCGAUACAAGUUUUAAAUAAUAAUUAGGUUGAAUCUAUAAAAUUUGGUAAAGAUCGGAAUUGGUUUGGUAUAAAACAGACUUAAAGUUGAGAAAUUGGAAAUUUUACUUAAAGUUUAGAAAUUGGAAAUUUUGGUGUUCUUGAAUGAUCUCAUGAAUUUGGGGUUUAAUUCAUAGUUGUUGAUGUUAUUUUGAUGAUUUAAUUAUACAAGCAAGUCCGUAUGAUAUUUUUUAGGUUGGUGUGCAUGUUUGGUUUGGAGCCUCGAGGGCUCGAGUGAGUUUUGGAUAGGCCACGGAGUGGGAUUGAACCUAGGAAGUUGUAGGUUUCAGCUGGUAUGUGUUGUAGGCCCUAGUCUCGCAAUUGCAUGGUCAGGUGUCGCAAUUACGAGCCUGGCAGGCUUGGGAAUUGCGAGGGUCACUUCACAAUUGCGAAGUAUGACCUGGCCAGCCUUUCUCGCAAUUGCGAGCAAUUCUUUGCAAAUGCGAAUAACCCAGAUAUCUCCUUCGCAAAUGUGAGUUCGCAAUUGCAAACAUCUGAUCACAAAUGCGAAGAUAGCAAGUUCCUUAAGGGUUCGCAAUUGCGAACCCUGGUUGCAAUUGCGACAUCUGCAACCUGCUAAAUCAUAACUUAAACGCAUUUUCAGCCCUUUUUCAAACCUUUUCAAAACCUAAACACCUUUGGGUGAUUUUCAAAUACAAGUACUCAUCCAAAUCGAUUGUAAGUCAUUUCUAACUCGUUUUCAUUAAUCUUUAACAUCUUUUUCACAUGAUUUCAACUCAAAAUCAAGGGUUUUCAUGGUGGAAAUUGGGUGUUUUGGGUAGAACUUAGGUUUUUCAAAUUUUGGGGAUUUGGACCUCGAUUUGAGGUCCGAUUUCAAAACAAAUUAUAUAUUUGGGUUCGUGGGUGAAUGGAUAAUCAGGUUUUGGUUCGAACCUUGGGUUUUGACCAUGUGGGCCCGGUGUCGAUUUUUGACUUUUUGGAGAAAUCAUUGGAAAACUUAUUUUCAUGUAUUGGAAUUGAUUCAUUUAGCAUUUAUUGAUAUAGUUAAGUAACUUGUGGCUAGAUACAAAUGAAUUGGUGGUGGAAACGAGAGGUAAAGCGGUAGUUGAGGCUUGAAUUGUGUUCGUGGCAUCGAGGUAAGUGUUUGGUCUAACCUUAGCCUGAGGGAUUAGGAGUUGUGUCUUAUUUGCUAUAUGUUAAUUGUGGAGUACGAUGUAUAGGCAUGGUGAUGAGUAUCUAUACGUCAGUGUCAAGCAUGCCUGUGGGUCUAGUGUUGUAAUUGUUGUGACUCCGUUGAGAUUUAUUCAUGCUUAAUAAAUUGAUUAUCAUUGUUGGUUCCCUUGCCGGGAUGCUAUUGUUUAUGAUAUUGUCUCCCUUGCCGGGAUGUUAUUGUUUAUGAUAUUGUCUUCCUUGCCGGGAUGUUAUUGUUAUGACAUUGUCUCCCUUGCCAGGAUGUUAAUGUUUACGAUAUUGUCUCCCUUGCUGGGAUGUUGUUGUUAUACUCUUGUUCCCUUACCGGGAUUUUUUUGUGAUUGAUGUUGAUUUGUAAAUGGGAUCGGGUUGCACGCCUUUAACAAGAUAUAUGAAAUGGGAGUGGGUGGCAUGCCGCCACAGAGAUAUUUGAAAUGGGAUCGGGUCGCACGCCUACAACAAGAUAUAUGAAAUGGGAGCGGGUGGCACGCCACCACGGUGAUAUUUGAAAUGGGAUUGAGUUGCACGCCUGCAACAAGAUAUAUGAAAUGGGAUCGGGUUGAACGUCUGCAACAAGAUAUAUAAAAUGGGAUCGGGUGGCACGCCACCACGGUAAUAUUUGAAAUGGGAUCGGGUUGCACGCCUGCAACAAGAAAGAGAUGAAAGUGAAUAUCAUGUUUAUUCUUCUUAUUCUUGUUAGCAAUUGAAUUUUGGUUUCUUCACAUUCCUCUUUGGUAUUCUGUUGUUAUCUGAUACUCCCCGCAGCAUGCUUUUCUCCUCCCAUCUUUAACUGUAAAUAUCUGCUUUUAUUUUUUCGUUGUAUAUGAUAUAAUUGCACUGGUUUAUUUGGUAGUCUGGUCCUAGCCUCGUCACUACUUCGCCGAGGUUAGGCUAGGCACUUACCAGCACAUGGGGUUGGUUGCGUUGAUACUACACUCUGCACUGUGUGCAGAUCCCGGUGCUACAACUUUUGGACCGCAGUGAGGGUGCUGUCUUCAGUCCAUUCAGGCGACCCGAGGUAGUCCUGCAGGUGUCCGGGGCCCUGGCAUCUCCUCCUAUCUUUCUAUACUAUUUCUUCUAUGUAUUUCUGAAACAACUUGUAUUUAUCUUUCGGACCCUUAUUUGUAGUACUUUUAGACAGUCUGUAAAAGUGUGACACCAGAUCUGGGUAGCUUUUUAGUUUAUGGAAUUGUAUUGAUACUAAUAUUGAACUGUUACAUUUUGUCUCUUUCGCUUAUUUAAUUCCGCUGCUUAUAUGAUGUUUGUUCACCAUUGUUAAAGGAUUAAAAUAUAUAAAAAAGGUUAAGUAGUUGGAACAAUUGGCUUUCCUAUCCUUCAUUAGUAGGCGUCAUCAGGACCCCUGAGAGUGGGAAAUCCAGGUCGUGACAAGACCUCUGUACAACUUUUCUAUCACAUCAUUUAAUGAUCUCACGUGGCUGACAUCAUAAUGGGGGUAUCGAAGAGGCAAGAACUUAAGAUCGUUUCUUAUCAUUUCAUUCUAAGAAACGCGGGAACUAUCUGUAUACGGCCAAAAUUGGGGAGUUCGAUUUUGGGGAUACUAUGGCACUCCACACCCGUCCUCAAGAAGCUCGAAGCUGAAUUUGAAGUGUGACCCCGAGGUGCGUCUCUCGAGGGAGCAUAUCAAAAGUUCACUGUGGUCAGUCUCGGAGCAGUACAAAUCGAUGAUCGUCAUGGAGAGGCAGAAAAGUUCCCAAGGAUACGUGGUUAGAGCUGACCAGGUCUGCAAGAAUAGUACAAAUCUGUAUUGAGCCAUUAUACAGAUGUACCAAUAGCAUUUUCUCGUUAUUAUUAAACAUGUACUAUAUUAGGAUUCCCCCUUUCUAUAUAAAGGGGACUCUUGUCAUUUUAUAGAAAGGGAUGAAUAUUGAAUAGAAUAGAACAUUCUCUGCUUUUCUUGCCUAAACGUGCUCAACAAUUACUCUACAGAUUUAUUGCCUGUUCUAGUAUUGUUCAUUUAUUGUUCUUAAUUUAUUGCCCAUUAUUAAGCGCAAAAAGCAUCCUCGAGGCCUUUGAUAUCUUUGUUUCUUCAUCAAUUGUUCAUUGUUAACUGCCCUAACUAGCCCCCAAGGCCCCCCUGUUCCAGCCAGCUCGAGGCCCAGUCUUGUGACGAGCAUUGAUUUGCAUAUCUUAUUCUCUUUUACGCNNNNNNNNNNNNNNNNNNNNNNNNNNNNNNNNNNNNNNNNNNNNNNNNNNNNNNNNNNNNNNNNNNNNNNNNNNNNNNNNNNNNNNNNNNNNNNNNNNNNNNNNNNNNNNNNNNNNNNNNNNNNNNNNNNNNNNNNNNNNNNNNNNNNNNNNNNNNNNNNNNNNNNNNNNNNNNNNNNNNNNNNNNNNNNNNNNNNNNNNNNNNNNNNNNNNNNNNNNNNNNNNNNNNNNNNNNNNNNNNNNNNNNNNNNNNNNNNNNNNNNNNNNNNNNNNNNNNNNNNNNNNNNNNNNNNNNNNNNNNNNNNNNNNNNNNNNNNNNNNNNNNNNNNNNNNNNNNNNNNNNNNNNNNNNNNNNNNNNNNNNNNNNNNNNNNNNNNNNNNNNNNNNNNNNNNNNNNNNNNNNNNNNNNNNNNNNNNNNNNNNNNNNNNNNNNNNNNNNNNNNNNNNNNNNNNNNNNNNNNNNNNNNNNNNNNNNNNNNNNNNNNNNNNNNNNNNNNNNNNNNNNNNNNNNNNNNNNNNNNNNNNNNNNNNNNNNNNNNNNNNNNNNNNNNNNNNNNNNNNNNNNNNNNNNNNNNNNNNNNNNNNNNNNNNNNNNNNNNNNNNNNNNNNNNNNNNNNNNNNNNNNNNNNNNNNNNNNNNNNNNNNNNNNNNNNNNNNNNNNNNNNNNNNNNNNNNNNNNNNNNNNNNNNNNNNNNNNNNNNNNNNNNNNNNNNNNNNNNNNNNNNNNNNNNNNNNNNNNNNNNNNNNNNNNNNNNNNNNNNNNNNNNNNNNNNNNNNNNNNNNNNNNNNNNNNNNNNNNNNNNNNNNNNNNNNNNNNNNNNNNNNNNNNNNNNNNNNNNNNNNNNNNNNNNNNNNNNNNNNNNNNNNNNNNNNNNNNNNNNNNNNNNNNNNNNNNNNNNNNNNNNNNNNNNNNNNNNNNNNNNNNNNNNNNNNNNNNNNNNNNNNNNNNNNNNNNNNNNNNNNNNNNNNNNNNNNNNNNNNNNNNNNNNNNNNNNNNNNNNNNNNNNNNNNNNNNNNNNNNNNNNNNNNNNNNNAUAGGAAAGUGACUUCUAAGGCCUACAAAUGGGAUGCAGCUUUACCUUGAGUGACUGUCUGGUAUCCACUAAGUACCUCUCAGGACUCCGUUGGUACCAACAUUAAAAUUUGCACAAGAAGUACAAAAGCGUAGUUUGAGUACAACCGACCCAAUAUACUAAGUAAGUGUCGAGCUUAACCCCGAUGAGGUAGUGACCAGGAAAAUACAGAAAAAACAUGUAAGGUAUCAAAAGAAAUAACAUGGUAGGGACUUAUAAAAGAGGAAACAAUCGGAACAAUAAGUAAAGAAUCACCAAGUCUUUUUCCGAAAUAAGCAAUGAAACUGCCAAGUUAAAUUCACAAUCCAAGUAUCAAGUAAAACAAUCAAGCCAACAAAAUGUACGGCAUCACCCUUCAUGCUAAUACUCUCAUCCUCUCCAUAUAACAUAAAUAAAGCAUGUGCACGGUAUCACCCUUCGUGCUUUUACUCUCAUCCUCACAUGAUAAUGAUAAUAGCAAGCAAGUGCACGAUAUUACCUUUCGUGCUUUUACUCUUUUCCUCACAAGAUAAUAUAAAUGCAAUUGCACGGCAUCACCCUUCAUGCUUUUCACUCUUCCUCACCAAGCAAUUACAACAAUGGAAGCAAUCCAAUUCCAAUAACGACAUUUGAAUACGACUCAUAUAUAAGGUUCUUUCAACAUUUAGUGCCAACAAACAACCAGCAACUUCCACAUUCUCAUCACCCAAGGACACAACAAUCUUAAUAUAAAAAAUAAUAUGAAAGCGGAAAAUCAAGUAAUUAACAAACUAUUUAUGCAUGGGAGACAUAUUUUACGAAAUAACAUGGUGCAAGUAAGAAAACUUUUACCCGCAUGUUUAACCCAUGACCCGUGCAUAUACACCGGCCAAAUUGCAUAUACUCCGCCCCCAACACAUAAUUCACAUAGCAAUUAGACUCAAUUCUACCUUAUUUCCUUCGAAUAAAAGUUAACCAAGACACUUACCUAUUUUCACAAUCAAAUCAACAAUCAAGCACGGCUUUGCCUUUCGAACAAGUCUCCAAACCAAUUACCAAUCAAACAAUUCAAAACAAGCUUUAAAAACAACCCAUAAAUGAAAAAUAUUCAAUUGAUCAUUUUUUAAAAUGUCAACAAAAGUCAAUCAGGGCCCGCUUGGUCGAAAUUCGAGAUUCGGACCAAAACUUGAUCGAUCACCCAUUCACCCCCGAGCCCAAAUGUGUGAUUUGCUUUGAAAUCCUACCCAAUUUGAGGUCUAAAUCUCAAUUUAUAAAAUUUCUAAAUUCCACCCAAACCCCUAAUUUCUACCUUGAAAUUCAAAGAUUUGAUGCUAGAAAUUCAUGAAAAGUAAUUAAAAUUAACUGAAAACUAGUUAAGGAUGCUUACCAAUGAAUUUGGAAAGAAAAAGUUCUUCAAAAAUCGCCUCUAGAGAGCUUAGAGUUAAAAGAAUAGUGUAAAAUGAGCUAAGUCCCGAUUCUUUCAAACUUUUACCUGGCUGCAGAUAUUGCAAUUACGAACCCUUGUUCGUAAUUGUGAUGUCCACAAAUGCAAAACUGUGAAGUCGCAAAUGCUACAUAUACCUCACAUUUGCGAAGUCUUCAUAUCGCAAAUGUGGUGCAUACUUCGCAAAUGCUAAGUUGUUCUCACCAACCACUAUGUCGCAAAUGCGAUCCCAUACAGGUUCGCAAAAGCAAACUCUACUUUGCAAAUGCGAAGUGCCAGCCCCAGCCCAUGUUCGCAUUUGCGAGCCUGACAUCGUAAAUGCGAGACUUGCAACUUCACACCAGCAAUUUCAUAGCUUCAACACUUCCAAACCAUUGCACAAUGCAUUCGAAACUCACCCGAUCCCCUCGGGCUCCAAACCGAACAUGUACACAAGCAUAAUAACAUCCUACAAACAUGUCUGAUACAUCAAAUCAUCAAGAUAACAUCAAAUAACAAGAAUCGAUCAUCAAAACUCAAGAAUUUCGACUUGAAACUCAAUUUUCAUAAUCUUUCACAUAAUACACCGAAAUGCACUCGGGUCACCCCGGACCCCAACCAAACAUGCGUACAAGUUUAAAUUUUCAUACAAACCUACCGGAAUCAUCAAAAUACCGAUCCAAUGUCGUUUACCAUAAUUAUUGACUGUGGUCACCUCUAGCAUCAUUUUAAGUCAAAAAAUUUAAUUUUUUUCAAAAUCUCAUAUAAAGCUUUCUGAAAAGCCACAUGGAUCACGCACACAAAUUAAUAAACAUCAAAUGAAGUUAUGGGAGGUCUCGAAAUACAAAAAUUAAGGCUAACACUCAAAACGACGUAUCAGGUCAUCACACUCUUUAGCAUCCACUCUCAUUACAUAUUAUAUACUCAUACCUCUCUAAUUUUAUUGGAGUUAUAACUGUAAUAAUUAUUAUGAAAAAUAAUAUAACAAAAUAAAUCGUUAAUAGUAAAUGGUUUCCAAAGAAGCGUGCCAAAUUAAUAAAGGACGAGUAAAAGAGAACCAAAAAAGUAUUUGAAUAAAAAGUCAAUCAUGAGCUGAUGAUAUGAUGCUCAAUGGACGAGUCAAAUUAAGGAAUCCUCCAGAGUAGAAAGAGCCAGCCACGAAUCUCCCCUUCUAGAAAACAAAUUGCCCCCUCCUACGACUCAAUUUACAAUUCCAAACUGUUGAGGUGGCUUAACUCUCUUAUCAUACUUACCCACCAGUCUUAUUGUAGGGUGACACAUAAUCCCCUACUUCACAACUUUCUCGCCAUAUGGUCAAUUAGCAAUCACAAGAAUCUCACAACAAUCUUCAACUCAUGCAAUUGCUUUUUGUUUUUGUAAAAAAUUAUUAUUAUAUAAGUUUAAUGUUUAUGUAUUGGAAGAAAAAGUUUAUACAAUCAAAUAAUUACAAAUAAAUUUUUUGAUAAAAUGUUAAUUGAUAAUAUGAUAAAAAAUUUAAUUAACUUGCUAGUAUUAAAUACGGUGAUAGUAGUAACAAAUGGUUUUAUGUAACUCAAAUAAUAUUAAAUCUUUCAAAUGGCAAGUACCCUGUAAUAGCACCUUUUUCAUGGAAAAGGAAAUAGUAAUAGCAAUUUCGAAAAAAACAAAGCUCAUGAACAAGCCAUCAACCACGUCGUCACUCUCAUCAUUCUUUUUCCAAAUAUAAAUACAAGUCCAUACUUUUACAACUUCCCAGGAAGCAACAAGGAGAAGAAGAGAGGAAACAUAGGUGUUGGUUUCCAAAUAUGAAGUCAAGGCAACAAGAAAUGGAGCAGAAAAAGGGAAACAACAAGAAAGAAGAUGGGGUUUUAGUCCAUAGCCAAGUAAGAAAGAUAAAGCAAGAAACGGAGAAAAUGAAGGAUCACCCAUCUCUGCAACUGCAACAGGCGGAGAAGAAGACGGCACUUGGCGAGAUCACUGGAAAACAACAGCACCAUAGAUCACCUUUAGGCUUAGCUCUUAGAAACUGAUAACUUCUAGAGCUUCAUGUUUUUGGGAUUUUUUUCUUCUCGUUCUUCUUUAGUAGAAUAAAUCUAUAGUAGCAUCGCUAGUCUUUCUAGGUUCAAUCACACUCUACUGCCCCCCAGAUCCCCUGUAUAAUUGCAAAAACAAAAUCCUACUUCUUUCCUUUAGUUUUACUUUUAUUUUCUUGUAAGAAAAUUGUUAUGCAUAUUUUCUUUUUACUUUUUUCAAUAUUUUUCGUCACCAUAUUGUUUCAGUUUGAAUUAAGCACUACAAAAAGCAAACGUAUAAACCUGAGAAUAUGCUUAAGCUAUGAUUUCAAAUUUAAGGAAUAUCAUGAAUAUGAAGUUGUUUAACAAGAAAACGAAACGCCUUUCGAAUUUCAUUGGCUAACUUCGCUUUUCAUGUUCAACUCUCCAAAUUCUAGAAAUCAGGGGUACGUAAUUCCAAAUUUGGAGGGGGAGUUGUUCAUUUCUGCUGAAUGGG